Non-coding RNA from Chishuiella changwenlii, 137 nucleotides. NCBI's taxonomy places the organism in Bacteria, Pseudomonadati, Bacteroidota, Flavobacteriia, Flavobacteriales, Weeksellaceae. The record is from Rfam.
UGUUUAUAAACCGAAUAAUGUUGUACUUUUGGCAACUAGAAAUAUUGGGGAAUCGUGUGUAAAUCACGAACUGUCGCGCAACUGUAAGUAAUUUCUAAUUACAAAGUCAGAUUACCAAUACUUAUAAGAUCAUACUU